UUUUUUUUUUAGACAUUCUGCUUCAGUCCUUCAGGCGUUGUGCACUUCUACGCUCCGCCUUCUGCCCCUCCACACCAUACCUUCACCUUCUCGACUUCUCGUUGACUCCUUUACUCGUUCAGCAAGCCGGCAACGCCAACACUCCCGCAGCCUUGCGCCUCAGCAGCGACUGCUGCCCGUUGCCCCGUUGUCAGCACUCAGCAGACAGCGAUUCGUCGUCAGUGGCCGGUGCCCGGUGCCCGUCGUCUACUCGUCCGGAAAGCGGCACUUUCCCUAGCCCUUGAUCAAAACGCGGUCGUCUGGUGCACAGCCGUUACCCUCCUUCGAAACGGUGUCGUUCCACUUAAUGCCCAACGGCUCUCACCUUCCCCCUUCAUGCGACGUCGUUUACCUGCUGAGGUAUUUGAUGCAUGAGGUCAUUUAGUUCUGAUUGGUCUUGUAGAAUUAAGGUGCACCAUGGCAUUGAGGCAAUUGUGUGGAUUUUCUGAUGGGGAGGUGAUGAGAUCAGAUUGUAAGACUUGUUCCAGAUUGACGAGACAGACUGCUGCAAUAUUCUCAGUUGGAGGAGCAUUAGGCUUUUGGGUGCUGUGCCGCUUGCACUACGGCCCUAGAAUCACAAAUCCUCGAAGUUUUAGGUGGGGAGCUUGUGGAGCAGUCUCUACAAGCUCUACCACCGCAUUGCUGGUUCGCCUGUUUAGUCCAGAAUGUGAACCUCAAAAUAUAGCUGCUUAUGACAAAAAAGGAUAGUGCUGCCUAUUCACAAGCUUUGACUAUCCUAUGAUGGCAAUUGGGGUCUUGCACUUGGAGUUAUGGAGCUUGUAUUGCUGCCUUUGAAUAAUAUGAGAUAGAUAAUAGCUUUGUUACUGACUGCUGAUAAUGUAUUUGUUCAUGACUUCAUGCACUACUUCAAUGUUAUUCUACUUCAUUCAAUUUCCUUUUAAAUCCAUAAGAACGUGAAUUUCCCAAAAAUGUUAGGCCUACGCUGCAGUGCUUGAGCUCCAGCAUCUUAUAUUGUGUGGAAAGUUCUAGCAUCAAAAUAUGUAUACUUUUUCUUGUGAAAUAUGUGCUGGGUCAUGGCUGCAGGGAAGCAAGCGAUGGCCAUAUAUCGGUCAGGAGGUGAGUUUAAAACUGAUAAGGAUGCUCUACUCUUGUAUAAAGGUGGAGAUGCAUGCUCAAUAUUGCUCAUGCUAUGGAAAUUGACAACCAAAUGAAUUAUGAAGAUUUCAAGAUGGAGGAAGCCGAGAUGUUUAACCCCUCCUCCAACACUUGUCCAUCAGGUCAGCCUACAACUGAAAAGUUAGGUCUAGAUGAGACCCUGAGGCAACAACUUCAAUGCUGUAGAUGCAAAGGACAUUGGACUAAUCAACAUGCUUUGUUUCCUACUUCACUUGGAGCAAAGGUUCUUGUCAUUCUUUACACAAAUAUAUCGACUUCCAAUCUACAUUCCCCCUUUUUUGUGCUGAUAAUAGUGAUAUAAGAUGCUUAUAUACAUUUGCCUCAAGUAUAGUCUGGACCAACCAUUAC
RNA transcript from Ipomoea nil (Japanese morning glory), 1524 nucleotides. RefSeq lists it as uncharacterized. NCBI's taxonomy places the organism in Eukaryota, Viridiplantae, Streptophyta, Magnoliopsida, Solanales, Convolvulaceae. The record is from RefSeq and is a predicted model, not a curated record. The transcript has 5 exons.